Molecule: ribosomal RNA, 1200 nt
Filed under: metagenome
Description: bacterial SSU rRNA
Rfam family: Bacterial small subunit ribosomal RNA
Source: RNAcentral
GGCUCACCAAGCCGGUGACGGGUAGCGGGUGUGAGAGCACGAUCCGCCGCAUCGGGACUGAGACACUGCCCGGACUCCUACGGGAGGCUGCAGCAACGAAUCUUCCGCAAUGCGCGAAAGCGUGACGGAGCAAUGCCGCGUGCAGGAUGAAGCCCUUCGGGGUGUAAACUGCUGUCAGGGUUCAGCAACACAAUGAGCAGACCCAAAGGAAGGGCCGGCUAACUUCGUGCCAGCAGCCGCGGUAAUACGAAGGGCCCGAGCGUUGCGCGGAAUUAUUGGGCUUAAAGCGUACGUAGGCGGACGAGCAGGCACCUUGUGAAAGCCCUCGGCUCAACCGAGGAAUUGCUUGGUGAACCGCUCGUCUUGAGGCAAGUAGGGGCUGUCGGAACGAUAGGUGGAGCGGUGAAAUGCGUUGAUAUCUAUCGGAACGCCAAAGGUGAAGACAGGCAGCUGGGCUUGUACUGACGCUGAGGUACGAAAGCGUGGGGAGCGAACGGGAUUAGAUACCCCGGUAGUCCACGCCGUAAACGAUGUGCACUAGAUCGAGGGGGUUCUGACGCCAUUCUCGGUCGAAGCAAAAGUGUUAAGUGCACCGCCUGGGGAGUACGGUCGCAAGGCUAAACUCAAAGGAAUUGACGGGGGCUCACACAAGCGGUGGAGCAUGUGGCUUAAUUCGAAGCAACGCGAAGAACCUUAUCCUGGGUUGAACUACGGCGGAUUAGCUUCUGGAAACAGAAGUGACGCCUUCGGGUGGAACGUCGAUAGGUGCUGCAUUGCUGUCGUCAGCUCGUGCCGUGAGGUGUUAGGUUAAGUCCUUUAACGAGCGAAACCCCUGUCGCUAGUUGCCAGCGCGUUAUGGCGGGGACUCUAGCGAGACCGCCGGUGUCAAAUCGGAGGAAGGUGGGGAUGACGUCAAGUCCGCAUGGCCUUUAUGCCCAGGGCUGCACACGUGCUACAAUGGCGGGUACAGAGCGACGCAAUACCGCGAGGUGGAGCAAAUCGCGAAAACCUGCCCCAGUUCGGAUUGCAGGCUGCAAUUCGCCUGCAUGAAGUUGGAAUCGCUAGUAAUCGCGGAUCAGCUACGCCGCGGUGAAUACGUUCCUGAGCCUUGUACACACCGCCCGUCAAGUCAUGGAAGCUGGCAGCGCCUUAAGUCGCCGCGAUUCAGCGGUGCCCACGGCGAAGCUGGUGACUGGGACU